CCUACGGGUGGCAGCAGUCGAGAAUCAUUCACAAUGGGGGAAACCCUGAUGGUGCGAAGCCGCGUGGGGGAAUGAAGGUCUUCGGAUUGUAAACCCCUGUCAUGUGGGAGCAAAUUAAAAAGAUAGUACCACAAGAGGAAGACACGGCAAACUCUGUGCCAGCAGCCGCGGUAAUACCGCGGUCUCAAGCGUUGUUCGGAAUCACUGGGCGUAAAGCGUGCGGUGGCUGUUUCGUAAGUCGUGUGUGAAAGGCGCGGGCUCAACCCGCGGAGGGCAGAUGAUACUGGGAGACUAGAGUAAGGGAGGGGGAAGCGGAAUGCUCGGUGUAGCAGUGAAAUGCGUAGAUAUCGAGAGGAACACUCGUGGCGAAGGCGGGUUCCUGGACAUUAACUGACGCUGAGGCACGAAGGCCAGGGGAGCGAAAGGGAUUAGAUACCCUAGUAGUC
RNAcentral lists this ribosomal RNA (446 nucleotides) under uncultured bacterium. RNAcentral's name for it is "partial 16S ribosomal RNA". It matches the Rfam family "Bacterial small subunit ribosomal RNA", at positions 338 to 795 of the family's 1533-position model. The record is from RNAcentral.